GCUUAGAGUUUGAUCCUGGCUCAGAUUGAACGCUGGCGGCAUGGCUAAAACAUGCAAGUCGAACGAGCUCUUCGGAGCGAGUGGCGAAAGGGCGAGGAAUACGAUCGAAUGUACCCCGAGGUGCGGGAUAGGUCAUGGAAACGUGGCGUAAUACCGCAUGUGCUCUCCGGAGGAAAGGCUUGCCGCCUUGGGAGCAGCGAUCGUCCUAUCAGGUUGUUGGUGAGGUAACGGCUCACCAAGCCGAAGACGGGUAGCGGGUGUGAGAGCAUGACCCGCCGCAUCGGGACUGAGACACUGCCCGGACUCCUACGGGAGGCUGCAGUAACGAAUCUUCCGCAAUGGGCGAAAGCCUGACGGAGCAAUGCCGCGUGUGGGAUGAAGCAUCUCAGAUGUGUAAACCACUGUCAGGGUCUAGGAACAAUGACCAGACCCAGAGGAAGGGCCGGCUAAUUCCGUGCCAGCAGCCGCGGUAAUACGGAAGGCCCGAGCGUUAUUCGGAAUCACUGGGCUUAAAGCGUACGCAGGCGGAUUUGUAGGUAUCUCGUGAAAUCCCACGGCUCAACCGUGGAACUGCGGGGUAAACCACAAGUCUUGAGGCAUGUAGGGGUCAGUGGAACGAUGUGUGGAGCGGUGAAAUGUGUAGAUAUACAUCGGAACGCCAAUGGCGAAGGCAGCUGACUGGGCAUGUCCUGACGCUCAGGUACGAAAGCGUGGGUAACGAACGGGAUUAGAUACCCCGGUAGUCCACGCCGUAACGAUGCGCACUAGGUCGUGGUACCUCUCAUGGUUUCACGGCUGAAGGUAAACUGGUUAGUGCGCCGCCUGGGGAGUACGGUCGCAAGGCUAAAACUCAAAGGGAUUGACGGGGGCUCACACAAGCGGUGGAGCAUGUUGC
This 895-nucleotide ribosomal RNA is filed under the name uncultured bacterium. Its description in RNAcentral is "bacterial SSU rRNA". It matches the Rfam family "Bacterial small subunit ribosomal RNA", at positions 1 to 945 of the family's 1533-position model. The record is from RNAcentral.